AUGGGCUCCCGCGGCGACGACGAGGAGCAGCCGGCUGCCGUGCCCCUCCUAGCGGCGGCCUACCCAACUCCGAGCGGCCUGAGACGGAGCCACGCCGGCGACGUUCACCUCCUGUCGGCCGCCUUCCUCUUCGUCUUCUCCGCCUACCUCCCCACGCAGAACCUGCAGAGCACACUCAACACCGAGGGCAACCUGGGCGCCGUGUCCAUGGGGAUCCUGUACGCCUCCUUCACCGUGUUCACGGCGACGGCGGCGGCCGUGGUGCGGCGGCUGGGGUCGAGGGGCGCGCUCGUCGUCUGCACCAGCGGCUACGCGCUCUUCAUCCUCGCCAACCUCCUCCCAACGUGGUACACGAUGGUGCCGGCUUCAGUCUACCUGGGUUUUACUUCAUCCCUCAUGUGGGUUGGCCAGGGCACAUAUCUCACGUCUGUGGCCUUCAGCCAUGCGACAGAGAACAAGCUUCACUUGGGCCAAGUUUUGGGUCGAUUCAACGGAGAAUUCUGGGGAAUGUUUGCAAGCACGCAGGUCAUUGGAAAUUUGAUCUCGCUCGUCGUGCUGGGGAAUGACAAGGAUGGAGGAGGUGCCAACAAGAACCUCUUGUUCACUGUAUUCCUCGGCUGCAUGGUCGUCGGCAUCGUGCCCAUGUGCCUGCUCUCCAGAAGAGAUAAGAGCAGAGGAGAAUCAGACGGCCAUGAACCCCAAGGGCGUUCCUUUCUCGCUGACACGUCGACGUCUGCCGUCACGCCGCUCGCUGACCCGAGGAUGCUCCUCCUCGCUCCUCUCCUCGCCUACUACGGCCUGCAAAAGGCAUUUGUAUGGGCUGUGUUCACCAAGAGUGUCGUGACCCCCGUUCUCGGGGUCGCCGGAGUCGGCGGGGCGAUGGCAGUCUACGGCGCGGCCGGUGUCGUCAGCUCGCUGGUCGCCGGCCGUCUGACCUCCGGCCUCCGUUCGUCCACCUUCAUUGUGUCAACCGGAGCUGUUCUCCAGGCCGGGGUGCUGCUCUGGCUGCUCUUUUUCUACAGUCCCAUGCUCGGGUCAGCAGCUCCGCUGGUCGUCGGCGACGUAUGGGGCGUCGGAGAUGGGAUUCUGAACACGCAGUUGAGUGCGUUGAUCGGGCUUCUCUUCGAGAACGACAAGAAGGAAAAACCCUCACUGAGAUCUUUCGGUGGCCACCGCAGUUAG
Molecule: ribosomal RNA, 1182 nt
Filed under: Triticum aestivum (bread wheat)
Lineage: Eukaryota; Viridiplantae; Streptophyta; Magnoliopsida; Poales; Poaceae
Description: partial small subunit ribosomal RNA
Source: RNAcentral